AGAGUUUGAUCCUGGCUCAGAACGAACGUUGGCGGCGUGGAUUAGGCAUGCAAGUCGAACGAGAACCGGGGGCAACUCCGGGGAAAGUGGCGAAAGGGGCAGUAAGGCGUGGGUAACCUACCCUGAGGACGGGGAUAGCUGCGGGAAACUGCAGGUAAUACUCGGCGACGUAGCGAAGGGGCAUCUCUUUGCUACCAAAUGAAUUUCGCCUCGGGAGGGGCUCACGUGGUAUUAGCUAGUUGGUGGGGUAACGGCCUACCAAGGCGAAGAUGCCUAGCGGGUGUGAGAGCACGACCCGCGCCACUGGCACUGAGACACUGGCCAGACACCUACGGGUGGCUGCAGUCGAGGAUCUGCGGCAAUGGGCGCAAGCCUGACCGAGCGACGCCGCGUGUGCGAUGAAGGCCUUCGGGUUGUAAAGCACUGUCGAGGGGGAGGAAGCUCCGAAAGGAGUUGACCUAUCCCUGGAGGAAGCACGGGCUAAGUUCGUGCCAGCAGCCGCGGUAAUAC
This 510-nucleotide ribosomal RNA is filed under the name uncultured bacterium. Its description in RNAcentral is "bacterial SSU rRNA". It matches the Rfam family "Bacterial small subunit ribosomal RNA", at positions 8 to 526 of the family's 1533-position model. The record is from RNAcentral.